UGUGGACAUGAAAUGAGAUCCUCUGGCUUAGAAUCCUUUUUUUUGCAUUAUUAAAAAAUAUAAUAUUUCUUUUACUAUUAUUUCCAGACUUGAGACAGUUCUAUGCCAUAUGUAUAGCUCUUGAAGGGAAGGGUUGUCUAUAGGAGAAGACAGUGGCUGGUAAAUGAAGGAAUACUUCAAUAUCUCAUUCCAUUAAGCAAGAUACAACUUAUCAGCAUGCAGAGGAAAACAGACUCUUUCUGCAGGUGGCUUAACUUACUGUUGUUAUGCAUAGAGCUGUGGAAGAAUGUUGCCUUCAUUCCACGAGAAUCCUGGCCACGGAGAAGAGCUGAGAACUGUUAAAUAUGGAAGCAUCUAAAGGAAAACUGGAAACUGCAGUGGUACAUGAACAAUUCACAGCUUUCCCAGCAGGAAGAUCGGCCUCUUUACAUGGGAAGACCUCUGGCUGUGGUGUUUGCAUUUCAGAGCCUUUCCACCUGUUUUUCAUAUGCUAUGUGAAACAGAUCACACUAAAUCUUUUGGCCAGUGUUCCUCAGAAGAUGAGAGGACAAAGGAACUUCUUCGUGCAGAUCAAGAAGGUGAAGUACUUUAACGUCCUGUAUGGCAUGUUCUUCUUCUGUCUUUACUUACCUGCUUAUAAUAAUGACAAAAUUGUUGGGCUCUUCAGACAAAAAUCUGGUUCAAGCUCUUGGAAUAUGCCUGUUUUUAUCACUAUUAAUUGCUUCCAGUGGGACUAAGCUUUAGUAAAGGCAAGUCUUCACAUCAUCGGGGAUUAAUUAGGACAAGGUGCAAAGGAAAGAGAAAUAGAAUGAAAAUUGUUCUUAUUAUACUUAAUCCUGUAUUAUCUAAGGAGAAUUUUUUUUUAUUUCUCAUUUUUCUGUUAGCUGUCAUGUUUACAAAUGUAGGUGAACUAUCCUGUGUCCAAGCUCUGAGAGAGAAGAAAUAGGAAAACACUGCAGUAAUGAACCAGAAAAACAGCAACAUUUUUCUGAGAGAUCUCAGCCUUUUUACUUUUACUGGAAUCAUGAAAUCUCUCUGUAAUUAAGUGACGAGCUUGUAGUGUUCCCAUACCCAUCUCUGUAGGAAUUCUUUGCAUUAGUGUGCAGAAGCACAGCUUAAGCUGGGCAGUGGUGAGAGACCAUCCUUGGUUUAUUUUUCCUUGGGGACUUCUACACUACACAAGCUUUCUAUUUGACCUUUGCAUUUUCUUCUGAGGACAAGGGGUUGAAGUCUGCAGGAUAACCAGAAAUACCCAACAUGAAUCUGGAGAAAACCUACAUUGCUUUUGAGCAUCAGGAGGAGUAAACAUCUGGGGAUCAUUUGAAACUGUAGCUGCUCACUCACUAUGGAAGACAUGAAAGAAGCAGUUAAUGUUUCUUUUUUGGGUUGGGAAUUGAUCUUUAUCACCACUUUCCCUAACCUGCGUUAACAACAAUCACCAGGGACAGGAGAAGCAUGCAGACUUUAAAAGGCAGCAGUAGUUGCCCUAGGUCACAGAAGUAAAGGAGGAAUUUGGAUCUGAGUUUUUCUUGUUUUCUAUCCAGAAUAUGAACCUCUUUUGUUGGAAGUAGGUUUUGUGUGAAGUUUGACUGCAGCUUCUGAGGAUACAUAAAAAUAAAUCAAGUUAACAAGAAGAAGAAGAAGAAGAAGAAGAAAUAAAAAGUCCUCCCUGUAAGGCCUCAAGAAGAAAUAAAGAGUCCUUCCUGUAAGGCCUCAAAAAAUGAUUUCUACACUAUACUUAAAAGAACUGUACAUUUUUUCUUCUUUUUUUUUGCCAGGCCUUUCAAUUUCUAAUUUAAGGUAGAAAUAUAUGAGAAGGUAGUUCUUGCUUCCUAUAACAUGUGUUCUAAUAUUUUCUAUAACCUUUAUUGAAUUACUGCCUUUACCAUGGACAAAGUUGUUUCAGGAGCAGUUCCCACUGACACUCAGAAUAUUCCACUCCCAUCAGUAGAAUGGGAGCCUUUCUAGCCUUUUCUUUUAAUGCAGAGCCACAAGAGUGAAGGGAAAAACCCAUGGGAGUUUUUUUAGGAGUGUAAAUGAAAAUUGAGGUUCAUAUUGUGAAAUUAUUACUGAGAGAAGCGUGAGGCGCUCCUUUUGCUGAUGUCGUGGAAUAACGCAAGUACCAGUUUAAAAUUUUACAGGUUCCUCUAGCUGGAACAUGAACUAAAACAUGUAUGUCUGAACAACCUAGCACUCCCCACAGGUCUCUGUGCACCUUGGAGAUGUCUGCUUAGAAGAAUUUUAUUUUUCCUAACUUUGGGAAGGUAGUAAUACACAGAUAUAAAAAAGCAAUGCAAGAUAU
Ficedula albicollis (Collared flycatcher) is the source of this 2302-nucleotide long non-coding RNA. Lineage: Eukaryota; Metazoa; Chordata; Aves; Passeriformes; Muscicapidae. The record is from Ensembl.